Molecule: ribosomal RNA, 413 nt
Filed under: uncultured bacterium
Lineage: Bacteria
Description: bacterial SSU rRNA
Rfam family: Bacterial small subunit ribosomal RNA
Source: RNAcentral
GUGCCAGCCGCCGCGGUAAAACGUAGGACACGAACGUUAUCCGGAGUUACUGGGCGUAAAGCGCGCGCAGGCGGUUGUUCAAGUUACCUAUGAAAGUUAUCGGCUAAACUGGUAAUGGUUAGGUGAAACUGGAUGACUAGAGAGAAAUAGAGGGAAGUAGAAUUCCGGGUGUAGUGGUGAAAUGCGUAGAUAUCCGGAGGAAUACCGGUGGCGAAGGCGGCUUCCUGGAUUUCCACUGACGCUGAGGCGCGAAAGCGUGGGUAGCGAACGGGAUUAGAAACCCCGGUAGUCCACGCCGUAAACGAUGUACAUUAAGCGUUCGGCUACGAUGGUAGUUGAGUGUUGCAGCAAACGCGAUAAAUGUACCGCCUGGGGAGUACGGUCGCAAGGCUAAAACUCAAAUGAAUUGGCGG